GACGAACGCUGGCGGCGUGCCUAGUACAUGCAAGUCGAACGCAUUUUCUUUCACCGUAGCUUGCUACACCGAAAGAAAAUGAGUGGCGAACGGGUGAGUAACACGUGGGUAACCUGCCCAUCAGCGGGGGAUAACACUUGGAAACAGGUGCUAAUACCGCAUAAUUCCAUUUACCGCAUGGUAGAUGGGUGAAAGGCGCUUUUGCGUCACUGAUGGAUGGACCCGCGGUGCAUUAGCUAGUUGGUGGGGUAACGGCCUACCAAGGCUGCGAUGCAUAGCCGACCUGAGAGGGUGAUCGGCCACACUGGGACUGAGACACGGCCCAGACUCCUACGGGAGGCAGCAGUAGGGAAUCUUCGGCAAUGGACGCAAGUCUGACCGAGCAACGCCGCGUGAGUGAAGAAGGUUUUCGGAUCGUAAAACUCUGUUGUUAGAGAAGAACAAGGAUGAGAGUGGAAAGUUCAUCCCUUGACGGUAUCUAACCAGAAAGCCACGGCUAACUACGUG
This 507-nucleotide ribosomal RNA is filed under the name uncultured bacterium. RNAcentral's name for it is "partial 16S ribosomal RNA". It matches the Rfam family "Bacterial small subunit ribosomal RNA", at positions 28 to 507 of the family's 1533-position model. The record is from RNAcentral.